AGAGUUUGAUCCUGGCUCAGAUUGAACGCUGGCGGUAUGCUUAACACAUGCAAGUCGAACGGAAACGAUGGAAGCUUGCUUCCAGGCGUCGAGUGGCGGACGGGUGAGUAAUACUUAGGAAUCUGCCCAGUAGUGGGGGACAACACGGGGAAACUCGUGCUAAUACCGCAUACGCCCUAAGGGGGAAAGUGAGGGAUCUUCGGACCUCACGCUAUUGGAUGAGCCUAAGUCGGAUUAGCUUGUUGGUGAGGUAAAGGCUCACCAAGGCUACGAUCCGUAGCUGGUCUGAGAGGACGAUCAGCCACACUGGGACUGAGACACGGCCCAGACUCCUACGGGAGGCAGCAGUGGGGAAUAUUGGACAAUGGGCGCAAGCCUGAUCCAGCAAUACCGCGUGUGUGAAGAAGGCCUGCGGGUUGUAAAGCACUUUCAGUAGGGAGGAAAAGCUUAGGGUUAAUAGCUCUGAGUCUUGACGUAACCUACAGAAGAAGAUCCGGCUAACUCCGUGCCAGCAGCCGCGGUAAUACGGGGGGAUCGAGCGUUAAUCGGAAUUACUGGGCGUAAAGCGCGCGUAGGCGGUUUGAUCAGUCGGAUGUGAAAGCCCUGGGCUCAACCUGGGAAUUGCAUUCGAUACUGUCAAGCUAGAAUGUUGGAGAGGCAAGUGGAAUUUCCGGUGUAGCGGUGAAAUGCGUAGAGAUCGGAAGGAACACCAGUGGCGAAGGCGGCUUGCUGGCCAAACAUUGACGCUGAGGUGCGAAAGCGUGGGUAGCGAACAGGAUUAGAUACCCUGGUAGUCCACGCCGUAAACGAUGAGAACUAGUUGUCGGGAGGGUUUAGCCUCUCGGUGACGCAGCUAACGCGUUAAGUUCUCCGCCUGGGGAGUACGGUGGCAACACUAAAACUCAAAGGAAUUGACGG
Molecule: ribosomal RNA, 918 nt
Filed under: uncultured bacterium
Lineage: Bacteria
Description: bacterial SSU rRNA
Rfam family: Bacterial small subunit ribosomal RNA
Source: RNAcentral